AGUUAUUCUUCGGCACUAAUAAGCGGAGUAAUUUUUUUUACAUCUCAUAAUAUAAGCCGUCGCAGUACUACGAACGCAUGUUUAAAAUUGAAAGAACUUGGCGGCCGUUCAACCUACCAGGGGAACAUGUGCCUUAAAACGAUGGUCCACGCUUUAUCUUACCCUGUCUUGUAAACAAAGAGGCAAGGAAUAAAGCUUGCUUCUAUUUCUCACCUAUAAGUGAGAGGGGUCAGCCGCUAUACCGCCGUUGUCACUUCCCAGUCUGAGCGGUAUUCAAAGGGGGGGAUUUUUGGUACUGUUUUAGGCUGUGUUGGGGUGGGGGCAGGAAAAUCUUUUUUGUUUUACAUUUCCCAAAGUAUAAAGUUUGUACCAUGAAGACAGGUUAAGGUAGCGCCUAUGACAGGGGGAGUAUGUGUUACAAGCUUUAUUUUAGAGAGAGUAAAAAACUUUCAAACGGAUUCUUUGAGGAAGAUUAAUCUUAGAUGAAGGUGAACUUGGCAGUAAGGAGGGAGUAAGGAGUCCACCUGAAGAGUGCUCUGAUCGUGUGUUCAAAUCGCCCGUCGCUCCCUUCCGAAAGCGGGGAU
This 584-nucleotide ribosomal RNA is filed under the name Acesta bullisi. Its description in RNAcentral is "partial 12S ribosomal RNA gene". The stretch from base 63 to 584 matches the Rfam family "Bacterial small subunit ribosomal RNA", at positions 875 to 1418 of the family's 1533-position model. Lineage: Eukaryota; Metazoa; Mollusca; Bivalvia; Limoida; Limidae. The record is from RNAcentral.